Molecule: long non-coding RNA, 624 nt
Filed under: Bos taurus (domestic cattle)
Lineage: Eukaryota; Metazoa; Chordata; Mammalia; Artiodactyla; Bovidae
Description: long non-coding RNA NONBTAT023750
Source: RNAcentral
AUAAUCAGACUACACAGACACAAAACUAAGUCCAAGAAAAGUGAAGUGGCUCUAGCUUUUUUUUAUGUCUGAAAUGUCCUUCCUUAGUCAAUGUCUAUUUAAAAACCCUUUUCAUGGGACUACUACUCUGUCAUGACCUAACUGACAUCUCCCAGAAAAGAUCAUCAUACACUAAUUUUUUUUUCACCAAGCUCUUUGUCUUUAAAUAAUACUCUAUUGCAAUCCUUUGUGUAGUCCAUGGUAGCAGAGACAACUUAACUCGUUUUUAUCUCUAGUACCUACCAAUCAGUGUCUGACCAUAGUAAUUACUGGUUUAAUGUUAACAGAAAUCAAUGUUUUCUUUAGAGUUGACAGGAGUUAUUCUAUGGUUUUAUACUAGCAGAAAAAAUAACAAGCUAAGCUAGCAUGACCAGUUCUCCAAUUGCUAUAGCAAGACUAUCUACUAUGUGAUUUUGAGACUCUUUUCUAAUAAGAAUGUAUAUUAAGACUUCGGUCUCACUAUUCAACUCAAAACAAAUGAAAAUCAUAAGAAUUUUAGACAGAAAAUAAAAUACAAUGUUUAUGCUAAGGCAGUUUUUUUGUAUCAUGCUUUGUAGCUAAAUUUGUCUAACAUUUCUGAUUGCC